AAUAGGAGGUGGAGGAAAACGUUUGUAUGUCAGCGCGAGGGAGUAUUAUUGAUAUAUUAUGCAGAUCCGGGAUGGAGUUUUUAAUAUAUUCUUUUAUGGUGGGAGGCUUUUUCAGCAAUGGAUAGUGGAUAUGUAUGUCAAAAUAUAGAGUAUGCGGCUAGAUUGGUACUCCAAUCCAAAACACCAAAAAAUUAUUAGAGCUGACCUCUAUCAGGGUAUAAUGGACACCCUUGCUGCCGGAGAGCAUAGGGGUUUGAAGGCUGGUAAAUUGGUUGUUUUAUCUAAGAAUUUUCCUGGAAGUGAUAGAGAUGUGCAGUGCAGAUUCAUGGAUGCAAUGUCAUUAGUUGCUAAAUAUGGAAAGCCAGAUUACUUUUUAAUCAUAAAUUGCAAUCCCUACUAGCUGGAGAUCACAGAACUUUUGUUGACUGGACAGACACCUCAAGAUAGACCAGAUAUUGUGGCGCGGGUUUAUCAUGCAAAACUCAUUGAUUUUCAUGACUUUGUUAUUAAGAAGAGGUACUUUGGGAAAGUGGCAGCUUGGGCACAUGUUACCGAGUUUCAGAAAAGAGGUUUGCCGCAUGAACAUUUCUUGCUUAUAAUGGAAAGCAGUUCAAAGCUUAGUGGGCCAGAUGAUUUUGACAAAUAUAUUUCAGCAGAACUUUCGGAUGAAAAAAAUACCCUCUUCUCCACGAACUUGUCUGCAAACAUAUGAUGCAUGGCCCUUGUGGUGUUCUUAAUAGAAAAUGUGGUUGCAUGUAGGAUGGUGCAUACCGUUUCAGAUACCCUAAAUAGUUCAGUGAGACCACGGAGCAAGGAAAGGAUGCAUAUCCUAUAUACAGAAGACGAAAUGAUGGUCACAAGGUAUUUGUGUGUAAGAAAUGGUUGGAUAAUAGAUGGGUUGUACCAUAUAAUCCAACACUUCUGAUGAGAUAUAAUUGCCACAUCAAUGUUGAAGUUUCAAACAGUAUCAAAGGUUGUAAGUAUCUUUAUAAAUAUAUAUACAAGGGCACAGACUGCAUCAUUCGCAGUUGCGAAUCAAGAUCAGAAUGGAGAGAUAGACAUAAAUGAAAUUAAAUAGUACAGGAAAGCACGGUGUAUAACGUCUAUUGAAGCAGUAUACCGGCUCUAUAGGUUUCCAAUGUUUUCUAUGUAUCCCCAUGUUUUACAGAUGCAAGUUCAUCUUCCUGGCAUGGACAUGGUGACAUUCAAUGAUGACGACAACCUUGAAGAUGUGCUGGAACGCGCUAGGAACCAAAGAUCGAUGCUAACAGAAUUCUUCAGAAUGAACAGUGAAGAUCUAAAUGCUCGAAGAUACUUAUACAGGGAAUUUCCAGAACAUUAUACAUGGAACAAGUCCAAAAAAGUUUGGUCUACUAGAAAAAGAAGUUACUAGAUUGGAAGGUUGGUGUAUGCGUACCCGCCUGAGGGCGAAAGAUUCUAUCUUCGAGUUCUUCUAAAUCGUGUUCGAGGUCCAACAUCAUUCAUAUCAAUCAGAACAGUUCGUGGUGUAGUGAGUCCUACUUUUAGAGAAUGCUGUUAAAAACUUGGUCUUAUUAAAACAGAUAGGUCACUCGACAAUGCACUUAGCGAAGCAGUAGCUUUUCAGAUGCAAUGUGCUCUCACAAGAAUAUUUGCCACAAUUAUGGUUUUCUACGAGUACACAAACAUUCGUACCCUCUGGGAUAAACAUUUUGAAUCAAUGGCUGAGAAUUAUGUACGUGUUCA
Molecule: long non-coding RNA, 1725 nt
Organism: Panicum virgatum (switchgrass)
Lineage: Eukaryota; Viridiplantae; Streptophyta; Magnoliopsida; Poales; Poaceae
Exons: 2
Source: RefSeq, a predicted model, not a curated record